UUGGAGAUGGAGUCCGGCUCCCGUAGGAGUCUGGACGAAGCCUUCCUGUAGUUGGAGUCAGAGAUAAAGUCUGGCUCCCGUAGGAGCUCGGACGUAGUCGAAGUUGGAGACGGAGUCUAGCUCCCAUAGGAGUCCGGACAAAGCCUUCCUGUAGUUGGAGUCGGAGACAAAGUCUGGCUCCCGUAGUAGCUCGAACGAAGU
This 201-nucleotide long non-coding RNA is filed under the name Elaeis guineensis (African oil palm). Its description in RNAcentral is "long non-coding RNA (EGUI_LNC055824)". The record is from RNAcentral. Lineage: Eukaryota; Viridiplantae; Streptophyta; Magnoliopsida; Arecales; Arecaceae.